This 507-nucleotide ribosomal RNA is filed under the name uncultured bacterium. RNAcentral describes it as "bacterial SSU rRNA". It matches the Rfam family "Bacterial small subunit ribosomal RNA", at positions 32 to 512 of the family's 1533-position model. The record is from RNAcentral.
AAUCAACGCUGGCGGCGUGCCUCAGACAUGCAAGUCGAACGCGAAAGUCCCCUUCGGGGGACAAGUAGAGUGGCGCACGGGUGAGUAACACGUAGGUAAUCUACCUUCGGAUGGGGAAUAACAACCGGAAACGGUUGCUAAUACCGCAUAACGCAGCGGCACCUAAUGGUGACAGUUGUUAAAGCGGGGGAUCGUAAGACCUCGCGUCUGAAGAGGAGCCUGCGGCGGAUUAGCUAGUUGGAAGGUAAUGGCUUACCAAGGCUACGAUCCGUAACCGGCCUGAGAGGGCGGUCGGUCACACUGACACUGACAUACGGGUCAGACUCCUACGGGAGGCAGCAGUCGGGAAUUUUGGCGAAUAGGGCGAAAGCCUGACCCAGCAACGCCGCGUGAAGGAUGAAAUCCCUCGGGAUGUAAACUUCGCAAGAAACGGGAAGAAAUAAGCGAGAGUUAAUAUCUUUCGUGAUGACGGUUACGUUUGUAAGCUCCGGCUAACUCCGUGCCAGC